RNAcentral lists this ribosomal RNA (668 nucleotides) under uncultured bacterium. RNAcentral describes it as "bacterial SSU rRNA". It matches the Rfam family "Bacterial small subunit ribosomal RNA", at positions 45 to 692 of the family's 1533-position model. The record is from RNAcentral.
CGCAGCUACCAUGCAGUCGAGCGGAACGAGUUAUCUGAGCCUUCGGGGGACGAUAACGGCGUCGUAGCGGCGGACGGGUGAGUAAUGCCUAGGAAAUUGCCCUGAUGUGGGGGAUAACCAUUGGAAACGAUGGCUAAUACCGCAUGAUGCCUACGGGCCAAAGAGGGGGACCUUCGGGCCUCUCGCGUCAGGAUAUGCCUAGGUGGGAUUAGCUAGUUGGUGAGGUAAGGGCUCACCAAGGCGACGAUCCCUAGCUGGUCUGAGAGGAUGAUCAGCCACACUGGAACUGAGACACGGUCCAGACUCCUACGGGAGGCAGCAGUGGGGAAUAUUGCACAAUGGGCGCAAGCCUGAUGCAGCCAUGCCGCGUGUGUGAAGAAGGCCUUCGGGUUGUAAAGCACUUUCAGUCGUGAGGAAGGUAGUGUAGUUAAUAGCUGCAUUAUUUGACGUUAGCGACAGAAGAAGCACCAGCUAACUCCGUGCCAGCAGCCGCGGUAAUACGGAGGGUGCGAGCGUUAAUCGGAAUUACUGGGCGUAAAGCGCAUGCAGGUGGUUUGUUAAGUCAGAUGUGAAAGCCCGGGGCUCAACCUCGGAAUAGCAUUUGAAACUGGCAGACUAGAGUACUGUAGAGGGGGGGUAGAAUUUCAGGUGUAGCGGUGAAAUGCGUA